AGUGAACGCUGGCGGUAGGCCUAACACAUGCAAGUCGAACGGCAGCACAGUAAGAGCUUGCUCUUACGGGUGGCGAGUGGCGGACGGGUGAGGAAUACAUCGGAAUCUACUUUUUCGUGGGGGAUAACGUAGGGAAACUUACGCUAAUACCGCAUACGACCUACGGGUGAAAGCAGGGGAUCUUCGGACCUUGCGCGAUUGAAUGAGCCGAUGUCGGAUUAGCUAGUUGGCGGGGUAAAGGCCCACCAAGGCGACGAUCCGUAGCUGGUCUGAGGGGAUGAUCAGCCACACUGGAACUGAGACACGGUCCAGACUCCUACGGGAGGCAGCAGUGGGGAAUAUUGGAGAAUGGGCGCAAGCCUGAUCCAGCCAUACCGCGUGGGUGAAGAAGGCCUUCGGGUUGUAAAGCCCUUUUGUUGGGAAAGAAAAGCAGCAGGUUAAUACCCCGCUGUUCUGACGGUACCCAAAGAAUAAGCACCGGCUAACUUCGUG
RNAcentral lists this ribosomal RNA (492 nucleotides) under uncultured bacterium. RNAcentral describes it as "partial 16S ribosomal RNA". It matches the Rfam family "Bacterial small subunit ribosomal RNA", at positions 29 to 507 of the family's 1533-position model. The record is from RNAcentral.